RNAcentral lists this long non-coding RNA (354 nucleotides) under Mus spicilegus (steppe mouse). RNAcentral's name for it is "lncRNA (ENSMSIG00000024263.1)". The record is from RNAcentral. Lineage: Eukaryota; Metazoa; Chordata; Mammalia; Rodentia; Muridae.
GAAAACUUGUGUUAGAAAUGGCUAAAUUACAGAGAAGGCAAAAAGUGAUCCAUCUUUUUUUUUUCCCCAGAAGCUCAGAGGAGAAAAAGAAAAAGAUGAAGAGGUAAAGUACAGUGUACUUUGGGAGUCAAGAAACGAUUCUCUAUGACUCUGUCAUGAUCUACUUUCCAUGCACUCCCUCCUUAUGCCUAUCACACAGCUAUUGGAUAAGGUUUCUAGAUCAGUCUCAUUAUUAUUGAUCAACCAAACCAACCAAUGGAAUGUGUCCAAUAUACUCACUUGUAAAGGUAACUUCCCUGCCCAGUUGGGCUUAAUGAAAAACUGUUUGGACUUAAGGUACUUGUCUUGUUGAUA